GAGGCAUUAGUUUAGUGGUAAAACUUCGAUCUGUGGCAUCGACAUCACCGGUUCAACUCCGGUAUGCCUCC
This 71-nucleotide transfer RNA is filed under the name bacterium. RNAcentral's name for it is "tRNA-His". It matches the Rfam family "tRNA". From Rfam's summary of the family: Transfer RNA (tRNA) molecules are approximately 80 nucleotides in length. The record is from RNAcentral.